CCUACGGGUGGCAGCAGUGAGGAAUAUUGGUCAAUGGCCGGGAGGCUGAACCAGCCAAGUCGCGUGAGGGAAGACGGCCCUACGGGUUGUAAACCUCUUGUGUCAGGGAGCAAGGUGCAGGUCGGGACCUGCUGUGCGAGUACCUGUAGAACAAGCAUCGGCUAACUCCGUGCCAGCAGCAGCGGUAAUACGGAGGAUGCGAGCGUUAUCCGGAUUUAUUGGGUUGAAAGGGUGCGCAGGCGGAGGCGAAAGUCCGCGGUAAAAUCGAGGGGCUCAACCCCGGUCUGCCGUUGAAACUGUGGCCCUUGAGUGCGCGAAGGGUAGGCGGAAUGCGUGGUGUAGCGGUGAAAUGCAUAGAUAUCACGCAGAACUCCGAUCGCGAAGGCAGCCUACCGGAGCGCAACUGACGCUCAUGCACGAAAGCGUGGGUAUCGAACAGGAUUAGAUACCCCAGUAGUC
This 459-nucleotide ribosomal RNA is filed under the name uncultured bacterium. RNAcentral describes it as "partial 16S ribosomal RNA". It matches the Rfam family "Bacterial small subunit ribosomal RNA", at positions 338 to 795 of the family's 1533-position model. The record is from RNAcentral.